RNAcentral lists this non-coding RNA (46 nucleotides) under Schistosoma margrebowiei. The record is from RNAcentral. Lineage: Eukaryota; Metazoa; Platyhelminthes; Trematoda; Strigeidida; Schistosomatidae.
GCACUACUGAAGAGUCCCAAAAUAGGAGGAAACGGCCGUUCAGUGU